GGCAGUGUGACGUAGUGGUAAGGCAUAGGGCUUGUAACCGAAAUGUUGCUGGUUCGAUUCCCCACUGGGA
Non-coding RNA from Megalops atlanticus (tarpon), 70 nucleotides. Lineage: Eukaryota; Metazoa; Chordata; Actinopteri; Elopiformes; Megalopidae. The record is from the annotation of a GenBank genome assembly.